This 286-nucleotide long non-coding RNA is filed under the name Brassica napus (rape). Its description in RNAcentral is "long non-coding RNA (BNAP_LNC001915)". The record is from RNAcentral. Lineage: Eukaryota; Viridiplantae; Streptophyta; Magnoliopsida; Brassicales; Brassicaceae.
GAGAAACAAGAUGUAAAGGCGUAAGCCUUGGGUAGUUUCUAAGGGGUUUUACAGAGUGGUUUCCUUAGCCAUUCUUAGGAGAAUCACUUGUAACCUCUUGUAAUCCCUUUGUUCUAGUGGAUUCCGAGCAUAGUCUCGGCGAGAUGUAGCGACCCUCGUUAAUGGGCGUGAAAUCGUUAAAUGUCUGUGUGUUUUCCUUCUCUUAACUCUCACACUCUCUUAUCCAAAGCUCUCUCUGUUUCAUUCAUCUCAACAUAAAUCUGUUCUGUAUCUUUAAGUUAACACA